This 808-nucleotide small RNA is filed under the name Pongo abelii (Sumatran orangutan). RNAcentral describes it as "retained intron". The record is from RNAcentral. Lineage: Eukaryota; Metazoa; Chordata; Mammalia; Primates; Hominidae.
CGAAGAGCCAGCUGCCUCUGGCCGCAUCAUCUGUCACAGUUACCUGGAGAGGCUCCUGAAUGUUGAGGUGCCCCAGAAAGUUGGUUCUGAGCAGAAGGAACCCCCCGAGGAGGCUGAGCCUGUGGCAGUAGCUGAGCCAGAGGUCCCUGAGAACAACGGAAAUAACUCGUGGCCCCACAAUGACACGGAGAUUGCCAACAGCACACCCAACCCGAAGCCUGCAGCCAGCAGCCCGGAAACACCCUCUGCAGGGCAGCAAGAGACCAAGACGGACCAAGCAGAUGGACCCAGAGAACCACCGCAGAGUGCCAGGAGGAAGCGCAGCUACAAGCAGGCGGUGAGUGAGCUGGACGAGGAGCAGCACCUGGAGGAUGAGGAGCUGCAGCCCCCCAGGAGCAAGACCCCUUCCUCACCCUGCCCGGCCAGCAAGGUGGUGCGGCCCCUCCGGACUUUUCUGCACACAGUGCAGAGGAACCAGAUGCUCAUGACUCCGACCUCAGCCCCACGCAGCGUCAUGAAGUCCUUUAUUAAGCGCAACACUCCCCUGCGCAUGGACCCCAAGUGCAGCUUCGUCGUAAGUAAAGCCUUUUCCUGUUGGUAACCUCGCCCCACCUAGCACUUACCCGCUGUAGCCCCUUCCCUGCGUAGCUGACAGCACCUGUAGAUGCACUAACAUUGUAAGCGGGAGGGGAGCCUUAGGAAGAGAGUGGGACGGUGAGGGGUGCACUGGCUGGAGGCGCCCAGCAGUUCUGGGCCCCAGCGUCCUUCUCUGCCCUCCCUGCCCUUGACUCUGCUCCUAGGAGGAAGC